This is a small nuclear RNA of Arvicola amphibius (Eurasian water vole), 106 nucleotides long. The record is from RefSeq and is a predicted model, not a curated record. Lineage: Eukaryota; Metazoa; Chordata; Mammalia; Rodentia; Cricetidae.
GUGCUCGCUUUGGCAGCACAUAUACUAAAAUUGGAAUGAUACAGAGAAGAUCAGCAUGGCCCAGUACAAGGAUGACAUGAAAAUUUGUGAAGUGCUCCAUAUUUUU